GACUGGGAUAACUCCGGGAAACCGGGGCUAAUACCGGAUGCUUGUUUGAACCGCAUGGUUCAAACAUAAAAGGUGGCUUCGGCUACCACUUACAGAUGGACCCGCGGCGCAUUAGCUAGUUGGUGAGGUAAUGGCUCACCAAGGCGACGAUGCGUAGCCGACCUGAGAGGGUGAUCGGCCACACUGGGACUGAGACACGGCCCAGACUCCUACGGGAGGCAGCAGUAGGGAAUCUUCCGCAAUGGACGAAAGUCUGACGGAGCAACGCCGCGUGAGUGAUGAAGGUUUUCGGAUCGUAAAGCUCUGUUGUUAGGGAAGAACAAGUACCGUUCGAAUAGGGCGGUACCUUGACGGUACCUAACCAGAAAGCCACGGCUAACUACGUGCCAGCAGCCGCGGUAAUACGUAGGUGGCAAGCGUUGUCCGGAAUUAUUGGGCGUAAAGGGCUCGCAGGCGGUUUCUUAAGUCUGAUGUGAAAGCCCCCGGCUCAACCGGGGAGGGUCAUUGGAAACUGGGGAACUUGAGUGCAGAAGAGGAGAGUGGAAUUCCACGUGUAGCGGUGAAAUGCGUAGAGAUGUGGAGGAACACCAGUGGCGAAGGCGACUCUCUGGUCUGUAACUGACGCUGAGGAGCGAAAGCGUGGGGAGCGAACAGGAUUAGAUACCCUGGUAGUCACGCCGUAAACGAUGAGUGCUAAGUGUUAGGGGGUUUCCGCCCCUUAGUGCUGCAGCUAACGCAUUAAGCACUCCGCCUGGGGAGUACGGUCGCAAGACUGAAACUCAAAGGAAUUGACGGGGGCCCGCACAAGCGGUGGAGCAUGUGGUUUAAUUCGAAGCAACGCGAAGAACCUUACCAGGUCUUGACAUCCUCUGACAAUCCUAGAGAUAGGACGUCCCCUUCGGGGGCAGAGUGACAGGUGGUGCAUGGUUGUCGUCAGCUCGUGUCGUGAGAUGUUGGGUUAAGUCCCGCAACGAGCGCAACCCUUGAUCUUAGUUGCCAGCAUUCAGUUGGGCACUCUAAGGUGACUGCCGGUGACAAACCGGAGGAAGGUGGGGAUGACGUCAAAUCAUCAUGCCCCUUAUGACCUGGGCUACACACGUGCUACAAUGGACAGAACAAAGGGCAGCGAAACCGCGAGGUUAAGCCAAUCCCACAAAUCUGUUCUCAGUUCGGAUCGCAGUCUGCAACUCGACUGCGUGAAGCAGGAAUCGCUAGUAAUCGCG
This 1223-nucleotide ribosomal RNA is filed under the name Bacillus subtilis. Its description in RNAcentral is "bacterial SSU rRNA". It matches the Rfam family "Bacterial small subunit ribosomal RNA", at positions 136 to 1346 of the family's 1533-position model. The record is from RNAcentral. Lineage: Bacteria; Bacillati; Bacillota; Bacilli; Caryophanales; Bacillaceae.